This 497-nucleotide ribosomal RNA is filed under the name uncultured bacterium. RNAcentral describes it as "partial 16S ribosomal RNA". It matches the Rfam family "Bacterial small subunit ribosomal RNA", at positions 28 to 507 of the family's 1533-position model. The record is from RNAcentral.
GAUGAACGCUGGCGGCGUGCCUAAUACAUGCAAGUCGAGCGAACGGACGAGAAGCUUGCUUUUCUGAUGUUAGCGGCGGACGGGUGAGUAACACGUGGAUAACCUACCUAUAAGACUGGGAUAACUUCGGGAAACCGGAGCUAAUACCGGAUAAUAUUUUGAACCGCAUGGUUCAAAAGUGAAAGACGGUCUUGCUGUCACUUAUAGAUGGAUCCGCGCUGCAUUAGCUAGUUGGUAAGGUAACGGCUUACCAAGGCAACGAUGCAUAGCCGACCUGAGAGAGUGAGCGGCCACACUGGAACUGAGACACGGUCCAGACUCCUACGGGAGGCAGCAGUAGGGAAUCUUCCGCAAUGGGCGAAAGCCUGACGGAGCAACGCCGCGUGAGUGAUGAAGGUCUUCGGAUCGUAAAACUCUGUUAUUAGGGAAGAACAUAUGUGUAAGUAACUGUGCACAUCUUGACGGUACCUAAUCAGAAAGCCACGGCUAACUACGUG